This 1094-nucleotide long non-coding RNA is filed under the name Mytilus galloprovincialis (Mediterranean mussel). The record is from RNAcentral. Lineage: Eukaryota; Metazoa; Mollusca; Bivalvia; Mytilida; Mytilidae.
UAACAACACGUCGUCUAUACAAGGUUUACUAUUUCUUAAAAAUAGUUGGAAAUAAGGUAGGAUUUGAUAAAUUAUUGUUAUCUUAGUUAAGUCUCGUCAAUCAUUUUAGCGGAAUAAAGGAAAUAUAUACUUAUAAAGACAAAUGUACAUUAUCAAAUUAAUAACUUUUUAUGGUGAAAAGUAUGAAAUCAAUAUUAUUAUAGUCAUGUUUUAUUCUAUUCUCUUUUUUUGCACCAAAAUACGUUUUCGUUUACAACAAAUAGUUGGUUAUUAUUUUCCAAUGCUUUGGUUUCAAUUUAUUGAUACGAGUAUUUGACUGAAGUUACGAAGAACAUUUGCCUUGUAAAAAUGAAUACAAAAUCCAAAAGGACAAAAGUCAGAAAAAAAUCAGAAAAUCUAACAUAAGGACUCCCGUUGGUAUAUUAUUCCAGGGAGGAACCAACAUGCGAUAUAUUUAACAUGAUAUUGGAGACGAACUUUACUGUCGUUUUGUAUGUCUUUUUACGUGGGUAAUAUUAAAAAAAAAUUCUAGUAAUUAUACGAAAUAUUCAAGUAAACAGAAGCUAGUAGUCAACCCAUUGUUUUACAAUAUUGAGGUCAAGGUCAUAUUUAAAAAGUAAAAUCACAAAAAUACUGAACUCGGAGGAAAAUCUAAUCGAAAAGUCCCUAAUCACAUGGUAAAAUAAAAUGAAAUUUUGACGUGCUAGAUAUUGACCUUUUCUAUACCUUCGUAUGUAUACAUGAUAAAGCUAGAGAUCUUUUGCAUUAUGUUGCUGGCAAUAUAUCCUUGAAAAAGUCAACCGGAAAAGACAUUGUUUAAACCGGAAGUAGCUAUAUUUUGUACUUAUCUAAUGUGAAAGUAUAUAGAAUCAUAUAUGUUUUGAUCCAAUAUAUUUUAGCUUGGUUUUUUUUAUUUUUGAUAAUUUUCUCGAACAUACUAUUUUUUCAGUUUAUUAGUAAUGGCACAUGCUUGGACAAAAGCUUUUAAGAACAAUAGAGUCGAUAUUGUAAAGGGCUUAGCAAACCCGGACGCUGUGGCUGACUACCUAUUUAGCGAUGGCAUGUUUACACAGGAUAUGCAAGCUUUAGUACAC